This 85-nucleotide transfer RNA is filed under the name Denitratisoma oestradiolicum. RNAcentral describes it as "tRNA-Leu". It matches the Rfam family "tRNA". Rfam says of the family: Transfer RNA (tRNA) molecules are approximately 80 nucleotides in length. Their secondary structure includes four short double-helical elements and three loops (D, anti-codon, and T loops). Lineage: Bacteria; Pseudomonadati; Pseudomonadota; Betaproteobacteria; Nitrosomonadales; Sterolibacteriaceae. The record is from RNAcentral.
GCCCGGGUGGUGAAAUUGGUAAACACAGCGGACUUAAAAUCCGCCGCCGCAAGGCCUGACGGUUCGAGUCCGUUCCCGGGCACCA